This 282-nucleotide ribosomal RNA is filed under the name Escherichia coli. RNAcentral describes it as "partial 23S ribosomal RNA". It matches the Rfam family "Bacterial large subunit ribosomal RNA", at positions 612 to 896 of the family's 2925-position model. Lineage: Bacteria; Pseudomonadati; Pseudomonadota; Gammaproteobacteria; Enterobacterales; Enterobacteriaceae. The record is from RNAcentral.
AUAAUGGGUCAGCGACUUAUAUUCUGUAGCAAGGUUAACCGAAUAGGGGAGCCGAAGGGAAACCGAGUCUUAACUGGGCGUUAAGUUGCAGGGUAUAGACCCGAAACCCGGUGAUCUAGCCAUGGGCAGGUUGAAGGUUGGGUAACACUAACUGGAGGACCGAACCGACUAAUGUUGAAAAAUUAGCGGAUGACUUGUGGCUGGGGGUGAAAGGCCAAUCAAACCGGGAGAUAGCUGGUUCUCCCCGAAAGCUAUUUAGGUAGCGCCUCGUGAAUUCAUCUC